CACCAAAAUUUCAUUUAUCUCUAGGGAGGGAUUAGUGACAGCACAGACCGAUCUAAUGAAAUAGUUUUUCAUUCACAAGGGGAAAAAAAUUACUACAAGCUAAACAUCUUCAGGGAAACAGAAGAGAAUUAUCUACAGCGUAAAAUGCCUGGAAGAAUCAACUUAUGGACUGUAGCUGCGAUUGGUAGGAUAAAAACUUUUAAGGGUUUCUCAGAGCUGCCAACCUCUUAUCAAGUUCACCAAUGCCCGAACUGCCAACAUCUUCUUUAUUCUUCCCUGCAAUUUUACCCUUUGGUGCCGUUGACAACUGUGAGGCAACAUCAACACCAAUUUCAUCUAGCACUUGAUUCGUCAACUCAUCAGUCUCCUCUUCAGC
Molecule: unclassified non-coding RNA, 376 nt
Filed under: Hevea brasiliensis (rubber tree)
Lineage: Eukaryota; Viridiplantae; Streptophyta; Magnoliopsida; Malpighiales; Euphorbiaceae
Source: RNAcentral